Molecule: ribosomal RNA, 19 nt
Filed under: Polyporus arcularius
Lineage: Eukaryota; Fungi; Basidiomycota; Agaricomycetes; Polyporales; Polyporaceae
Also listed under: 3 other names
Description: partial 28S rRNA
Source: RNAcentral
CUCUGACCUCAAAUCAGGU